This 510-nucleotide long non-coding RNA is filed under the name Equus asinus (donkey). RNAcentral's name for it is "lncRNA (ENSEASG00005032396.1)". The record is from RNAcentral. Lineage: Eukaryota; Metazoa; Chordata; Mammalia; Perissodactyla; Equidae.
GGAAGAAUGGCCCUUUGGAAUGAAUUGUUUCAUUCCCCCAGCUACCUCCCCCUGCCCGGGGUCUGUGGCGCCUCUGGCCAAAGAAUUCACAUGGCCAAGUGAGGGCCAAUGCUCCAGCUGGAAGGUGGCACCUGGACUGGGCCAGGGCCGGACAGCGGGGAACAGGGAGCCUCAGCCCUCUCGUCUGGCUCACGGAGGACGGGUGGAGUCCGCCGCUGCUGGUUCAACUGCUGUGCAGUCACACAUCAUGGAGCCUCUGGGAGCUCCACUCUGCACCUGCAGGCUGGAGUGAACACAGCAGAGGCCCAGCGCUAUGAUGAAACAGCUCUGACCUGACAGACCCCCGAAAGUGGUCCUCGAGCCACACUGUGGGGGCUGCUGGUCCAGCAACAGCCAGGCAACCACCAGAAGAGCAAAGAACUGUCACAACAGCAAAGAGGAAUAAAAAUAAUCACAGGAAGGGCAGACACUUAGCCUGGGGAUGUGAAGAGGCAGGGAAGAAAGCUGGGC